GGACUUACCGCUGGUGUACCAGUUGUUCUGCCAAGAGCAUCGCUGGGUAGCUAUGUAGGGAAGGGAUAAACGCUGAAAGCAUCUAAGUGUGAAGCCCACCUCAAGAUGAGAUUUCCCAUGAUUUUAUAUCAGUAAGAGCCCUGAGAGAUGAUCAGGUUGAUAGGUUAGAAGUGGAAGUGUGGUGACACAUGUAGCGGACUAAUACUAAUAGCUCGAGGACUU
Molecule: ribosomal RNA, 222 nt
Filed under: Climacostomum virens
Lineage: Eukaryota; Ciliophora; Heterotrichea; Heterotrichida; Climacostomidae
Description: partial Bacterial large subunit ribosomal RNA
Rfam family: Bacterial large subunit ribosomal RNA
Source: RNAcentral